RNAcentral lists this long non-coding RNA (1703 nucleotides) under Nicotiana tabacum (common tobacco). RNAcentral describes it as "long non-coding RNA (NTAB_LNC008844)". The record is from RNAcentral. Lineage: Eukaryota; Viridiplantae; Streptophyta; Magnoliopsida; Solanales; Solanaceae.
UCACUUAAAUUGCUAUCAACCUUUUAUUUUAAUUAUUUUGAGUGAAGGUGCUAUUAACAAGAGCAAGUGCAUUCAAGAUUUAAGUAUUAAAUUCAUCAAUUUAUGGUUACCUUGUUUCUAUUUUUUCUCAGGUAAUUUGGUACAUUCGUUCCAUUUUUACUUUUAUUUAGUAAUUUAAUUAUUGCAUAUUUAUUUUUAUUAUUCUUGCAUUUUAUUUUUUAAAUUUGUAUUAUUUAAUUUGUAUAAUGGAUAAGUUAAAAAAGGUUAAAAAAUAAUUGUGUUUCCAGUCCGGUACUGGCAGUCAGAAUAAGAGUAAGAAAACAGUUGGUAGUUCUAGCACUAAAAAAUAUUCAUGUAUUCUGGGAAUUGAAGCAGAACAUGAAGGUGUUGAUUUAUAUUGUGGUGCAUAUGAUAUGAAUUAUCUAGAGCAACAAGAAAAUUAUAGUUUAGAAUCUCGGGCAGCCCAAAUAAUAUAAAGAAAGGAUACUUAUUUCAAAGUGGUUCAAGUAGUUCAGCGGACUGAAAAUCUUAGUAUGGUUUGAAUCCACAUAUACUUCACAACUUUAAUAGUUCAUACCAGUAAUUUGUGUCAUUCAUGCCGAAGCAUAUAUUCUAGGUUUUCUUAAAAGCAAAUCCUCAUUAAGAUGAUCAAUAUUUUAUGGUAACAAACCCAAAAAUAUCUAUGGACCAACAAUAGCUUUUUCUCAUUUUCCCCCUUGUUUCUUGAACCCCGAACCUCAUGGGGAGAGUCCUCUCCAUUAAGACUACGAUUAUAUAAAAAAUAUGAUGGUGUACGGCUAUUCCAUCUAAUUUCUACUAGGAAAGGAAUUGCGUAAACUCUCUACCCACCAAGAUUUAGGCAAAUGAAAAAAAAACCACCUAUUUAAGAAUAUUAUAGUAGACUAGAUAUCUUUUAUACAUAUACAUACAUAUAUAUACACGCGCGCACACAAAGCUGAAAAGCCCCUAAAACACAUAGACAUUGAAGUUAAUUAUUCUUAAAAAAGCAUCAAAGAAAAAGAAAUUUGAAGGGUUUCCGGACAAAGCAUUGAUUUUGGAUUUUGGAGAUUCAAACCCAAGUGAAGUUUUCUUUAAAUUUGAUUAAUAUUUUUAACAAGUGCAAGAUGACCAACAUUUUAUACUCCAUUGACAUUCGGCUUAAAGUAUGCAUAUUUUUAUAUAUAUUUCCUUGCAUUUUACUCAUGUUUCGUAGAUUUUGGAUGUGUAAUAUAAUGAUUUGUGCUAAUUUAUGGUAUUUCUAUGUGUAGGAAACAUCCGGAGGCAAUUUGGGACGAAUGUGCGCGAAUUGAAGCGAAAAUGGGAAGAAAAGGAAAAAAUGCACAUUGUAGCGCCAUAGACAGCGUGGGGCGCUACCUGUGGCGCACAAAAUAGAACCUUCAAAAGCCCAGCGCCAGGGCUAGCGCCCCACGCUACCCUGGGCGCUGGUGACGUAAAAUUAUCCUAGUUCGACCGGGACUCGGUUGUUUCAACCCCAAGACGUCCCCAACUCGUAUAAAAGCAAACCUAAACAUAUUUUGGCAAGGGGGACACUACUUUGAGAGAAGAACAAAAGUACGAAACACUCGGGAGCACAGAAUUCAUCAAUUCUUCCAUUCUUCCUCUUGUAUUCAUCGAUUUUAUGUUUGAAAAUAAUAUUUUGAUGAUUGUUAUGAACAUAAGUGGCUAAGAACCCUAUUAUUCUG